This 305-nucleotide ribosomal RNA is filed under the name uncultured bacterium. RNAcentral describes it as "partial 16S ribosomal RNA". It matches the Rfam family "Bacterial small subunit ribosomal RNA", at positions 505 to 807 of the family's 1533-position model. The record is from RNAcentral.
ACAGCAGUCGCCACGGUAAUACGGAGGGUGCAAGCGUUAAUCGGAAUUACUGGGCGUAAAGCGCACGCAGGCGGUCUGACAAGUCAGAUGUGAAAUCCCCGGGCUUAACCUGGGAACUGCAUUUGAAACUGUCAGGCUGGAGUCUUGUAGAGGGGGGUAGAAUUCCAGGUGUAGCGGUGAAAUGCGUAGAGAUCUGGAGGAAUACCGGUGGCGAAGGCGGCCCCCUGGACAAAGACUGACGCUCAGGUGCGAAAGCGUGGGGAGCAAACAGGAUUAGAUACCCGGGUAGUCCCUGUCUCUUAUAC